AUGGUCAUCACUGGGGAUGACCCCGAGUAUAUUGCCUUUGUAAAGGCCCGUCUUAGUGAGCAGUUUCUUAUGUCUGAUCUUGGACCUCUUCGCUAUUUUCUUGGGAUUGAAGUCUCUUCUACCUCUGAUGGCUUUUUUAUAUCCCAGGAAAAGUAUAUCCAAGAUCUUCUUGCUCGUGCUGCUCUCUCUGAUGAGCGCACUGUUGAGACUCCUAUGGAGCUCAAUGUUCACCUUCGUGCUACUGAUGGUGAUCCUCUUCCUGACCCGACGCGUUAUCGUCAUCUUGUUGGCAGUCUUGUCUAUCUAGCUGUCACUCGUCCGGACAUCUCUUAUCCGGUUCAUAUUCUGAGUCAGUUUGUUUCUGCUCCCACAUCGGUUCAUUAUAGUCAUCUCCUUCGUGUUCUCCGAUAUCUUCGGGGCACGAUCUCUCACCGUCUCUUCUUUCCUAGCUCCAGUUCUUUACAGCUUCAGGCCUAUGCGGAUGCUACGUGGGCUAGUGAUCCUUCUGAUCGCCGUUCGCUUUCUGCUUACUGUGUUUUUCUUGGCGGUUCUCUCAUUGCCUGGAAGACGAAGAAACAGAUUGCAGUUUCCCGUUCGAGUGCUGAGGCUGAGUUGCGAGCUAUGGCUCUUUUGACGGCAGAGGUGACUUGGUUACGGUGGUUACUUCAGGACUUUGGUGUUUCUGUCACUACACCGACUAUGCUCUUAUCUGACAGUACAGGUGCUAUUAGCAUUGCGCGCGAUCCUGUGAAGCAUGAGCUCACCAAGCAUAUUGGUGUUGAUGCUUUCUAUAUGCGCGCUGCUGUGCAGGAUCAGGUCGUUGCUCUUCAGUAUGUGCCUUCCGAGUUACAGUUGGCGGAUUUUCUGACGAAGGCCCAGACUAGAGCACAACAUGGCUUUUAUCUCUCCAAACUCAGUGUUGUUCCUCCACCAUGA
RNAcentral lists this ribosomal RNA (936 nucleotides) under Triticum aestivum (bread wheat). RNAcentral describes it as "partial small subunit ribosomal RNA". The record is from RNAcentral. Lineage: Eukaryota; Viridiplantae; Streptophyta; Magnoliopsida; Poales; Poaceae.